CAGUAGCCGCGGUAAUACGAAGGGGGCUAGCGUUGCUCGGAAUUACUGGGCGUAAAGGGAGCGUAGGCGGGUCGUUUAGUCAGAGGUGAAAUCCCGGGGCUCAACCUCGGAACUGCCUUUGAUACUGGCGACCUUGAGUAUGGGAGAGGUAAGCGGAACUCCGAGUGUAGAGGUGAAAUUCGUAGAUAUUCGGAAGAACACCAGUGGCGAAGGCGGCUUACUGGCCCAUUACUGACGCUGAGGCUCGAAAGCGUGGGGAGCAAACAGGAUUAGAUACCCGCGUAGUCCCUGUCUCUUAUAC
RNAcentral lists this ribosomal RNA (301 nucleotides) under uncultured bacterium. RNAcentral's name for it is "partial 16S ribosomal RNA". It matches the Rfam family "Bacterial small subunit ribosomal RNA", at positions 509 to 807 of the family's 1533-position model. The record is from RNAcentral.